RNAcentral lists this ribosomal RNA (245 nucleotides) under uncultured bacterium. Its description in RNAcentral is "partial small subunit ribosomal RNA". It matches the Rfam family "Bacterial small subunit ribosomal RNA", at positions 26 to 285 of the family's 1533-position model. The record is from RNAcentral.
AGAAUCAACGCUGGCGGCGUGCCUAACACAUGCAAGUCGCACGAGAAAGGGGAGCAAUCCCUGAGUACAGUGGCGCACGGGUGAGUAACGCGUGAAUUAUCUACCUCCGAGUGGGGAAUAACUGAGAGAAAUCUUAGCUAAUACCGCAUAACACUUACGAGUCAAAGCAGCAAUGCGCUUGGAGAGGAGUUCGCGGCCGAUUAGUUAGUUGGCGGGGUAAUGGCCCACCAAGACGAUGAUCGGUA